CAGCGAGGCCAGAUGCAGUACACAGCAGAUUAUUGGGGCUGCCUGCAAAGAACUGGGUGUGAAUGAUGCAGAGAAACUUGUACCUGCAAUACAACAGCUACUAAGGCACAUGGCCAGGAACUACACAGUGGAACAGGAUGUGCCAUUGGUGAUGCAGCAGAAUAGGAAUAUCCAGAUAACUGCCUCACAUUUGGAUGCAGCAUCAUGUGCCAGCACAUUUCAAGGGAAACAGCAGACACAACCAAACAACAUACUGACUGAGA
Long non-coding RNA from Pomacea canaliculata, 263 nucleotides. RefSeq lists it as uncharacterized. The record is from RefSeq and is a predicted model, not a curated record. NCBI's taxonomy places the organism in Eukaryota, Metazoa, Mollusca, Gastropoda, Architaenioglossa, Ampullariidae. The transcript is spliced from 3 exons.